Molecule: long non-coding RNA, 3256 nt
Organism: Saimiri boliviensis boliviensis (Bolivian squirrel monkey)
Lineage: Eukaryota; Metazoa; Chordata; Mammalia; Primates; Cebidae
Source: RefSeq, a predicted model, not a curated record
CCUGUGCACCGCCGGCUCCCCUCAGCAGGCCCGGUUCUAAGGACAGGCCCUGCCUCAGGCUCACUCAGAGCAGCAGGGAAGGCACGGUCACCUGAUUCCAGUUCUUCUCUCUGGGGAUGGGGGAAUGUUGGUCAUGGAUGUGCCUUUGGGAGCGAACGGUCCCCUCCGCUGGGCCCCAGGGAGUGUCCACAGCACCUAGGCUGCCCCGGAUGCAUCGCCGAGCACCGUGAGGACCUGGCGUGUGUUUAUGUGUAUUUUCAUCAGAACUUUGCCUGUAGCUUCCUGGCCUUGCAGUCACAUCCUCUCCUAAACCUAAACCCCACCCAGGCACCCACCCCUUCCCUAGGCGGGCGGGCGGGCAGUGGUGGUUCUUGCCCCGCCUGCCCCAGCUCUUCCUGUAGCUCUGAGUCAAGCGGCUCCUUCCUCUGGGGCCCACCCCAACCAACCCAGGCAUGGCAUUUUCCUCUGUGCAGUGUGUGUGUGUGUGUGUGUGUGUGUGUGUGUGUGUGUGUGUGUAUGUUGGGGGCUGGGAGGGUGCUCAAAGGGGCAGGUUCCAGGGAUAAUGGGGCGUCCUCCUGGCACGGAGAACGCAGCCAGGGCCAUUGUGCAUGUACGCGGGGGGGACGGGGCUGCGCCGUCUGCAUUGUGCUUCCCAGUCAGCACUAGGGGUCACAUUCAGGAGCCAAGGGGCCAGCUGCUUUGCUCCCCCAUGCGUCUCUGACCUCUGACCCCAGGGGACAGGGCCUUUCCGGAACUUCAAGCCAACCCCGGGGCUCCAACAGGGUUCUCUGGCCCUCUUCCUGUCCCUGUUCCGGGCAGGGGCCCCCAGGGGAUGAGCAGUCUGGACCUUCCCUUCAGGCUGGGGUGCUAAGGGCAGUGCGCCCUUUUCCAGAUAAGGAGCAAACACAGCUGGCCAAGGCUCCUGGCUCAGAGCAGAUGGGGGCAGACGGCCUCUCCGUUGUCACCACACGGACACCCCCAGGCUGACCUCGGACUGGAGACCCAGUGACUGCUGGCUGGUACUGCCCACGGAAUCGGGUCUCCUUUGGCCCCUGGCCCUGCCCUCAGCCGCUUGGGGCUGGGAAUCUCAGUCCCAGCCUGGCCCUGGCGGCCUCGCACUGCCCACCACGCUCUGCCGGGCACCCUGAGGGUCUCAGAAAGCGCCAGCUCCUCCCACCCUCAGACCCAACCAGCGUCCUCGGUGCGCGCAGCGCCCUGCAGCUUGAGCGCGACUCCCGCGCAGCCCGAACGCGCCGCCGCUCCGCUCCCGGUGCGCGCUGGGCCCCGCGCGCCUGCCCUGAAGCGGGAACCUGCGCAGGAGGCAGCGGCCCCGCAGGCCGAGGGCCGCAUCUCGCUCCCCUUCCCGGCCCCUUCAGGUCUGGAAGGGGCCAGGACGCGGGCGAGCUCGGGCUUCCGGGCGACGCGGGAGCCUCCCUGGCUCCGAGCCGCUUCCUGAGAGACCGCGCCCAGGGACAAGCAGCGCCGCGGCCCCCGACUCCAGGCCUGGAGCGGCCCUGGGAGGACAGCGGCCUCCACUCACCUUCGCGGGUCUGAUGGCACCGCCACUCACCUGCUGCCUGGACCUGGGGCUCGCGCGGGGCGGGGGAGGGGCAGCUCACCUGAGCCAGGUGCGCAGCGGCGACGGCCCCGGCGGCGGCAGCAGACGCUGGUACUUUAUCUCCAGAACCCUGUUCUUCACCGACUGCGGGACGUCAGGCACGAACCAGGCGGCAAUGAGUUUGAUGCACAAGGCCACGUGCUAGGAGCAGCGCAGGAGAGGCCCAGCACUAUCAGGUGCCAGCAGGCAUCUGGGCGCUCGGGGCCGGGGAGGAGGACUGGAGAGAAAACUGCCCUAACCCACUCCGUGGCCUCUCCCGGUUCUGCCUCACCUCAAAGAGGAUGACGAAGGCCAGGCGGAUGGCCAGAAGGAACCAGAACUUCCUGGUGAGGGUGUAAUGGUGGGGAUGGCGGUAGUCCCUGUACCUGCGGAGAGGGAGCACCCGAGGUCAGGGGUCAGGAGUUCAGAGGGCAUUCGUGGGGGAAGGGGAGUUCCAAACCUGCAGUGAGUCACGUUUUCUGAGCCCUCAAUCCCAUCAGGGUCCUGGAAGUCCUUGGUGUAGAAGACAGACAGGCUGUGGUUGACAUAGCCCGUGAGGCAGCUGGGGAGGGGGAGAGGAGUGUGGGCGGGGGUGGGCUUCCAGGCCGCCCCUCCAGGCCCCAGGGUGCUUCUAGCCUGCGUUAUGGAGGCCACACCACAGACAGCCACCAGUGGGACGGGCCCCCGGGCCAAGCACAUCUUCACAUCCAGGGGGCUUGAGGGCCUGCGGGGACUCUGGACAUCACCAGCCGCCUUCCCUGCCAAGGACUGACCCUGGAGACCCAGUCUGCGGCCUGGUGGCUCUUUGACGUCAGAGAAGCCAGCUCCAGGGCCACGGAAUUCACUGGGAAGUCCCCAGCUCCCCGCAGAGCAUGGCCUCAGCUCUCCUGCACCCUCACCCUGAGGUGGACAUCGAGGGACCCAGGAAGCCUCACCCCUCCACCUUCCUGAACUUCUCAGCUGCCCCCAAGCCCCUGUACCUCCUGGGUUCCCACCCCAGGGCAGGACCUCACAACCCGGGCUCAAGACUGGGGGCCUCCCCAGGACCCCACCCGCAUUCCCCAUGUCCAGCGCCCCAGCCCUGGUCACUCCCCUGCUAGCUACCCCCUCAGUGUGGCCUAUCUUGGGACACAGGCCAGCUGUUCUGUUCCUGCCCCAGCCACUGGCAGCAUCUGGGUCCCCCUUGGGGGCAUCAAGCCCCUCUGAGAUCCUGACGGUUUGUGGAAGGGCCCUGCCCACUCCUGGGACCCUCCCCCCGACCCAGGCUCAACCCGCAUCCCAGGCCUCUGGAGAAGGGCUGGGUCUGUCCACGGGGUGAGAUCGGAAAGAUUAUUUCAAGGAGAGCCCGGGGGCCAGAGGGAGGUCCACAGGCUGAGCUCGGUUCCCGCCCAUCCCGCGGCCGUCGGGCCUGACCGAUGUCCUUGGCUUUGCGGGGCACCAGGCGCCGCUGCAGCCGGACCAUCUUGAUGGCGUCCAGGCGGAUCUCCACGAGGUUGCUGAAGAGUGCGAGCAGCGGCGCCAGCGGGAAGGCGGCCACGAAGAUGGUGGUGAAGCCGUACUGGAUCACUGCGGGGUGGGGGUCACGCUCGUGGGCGCCCCACGAUCGGCUCCGGGGACCCCGCCCCCAGGGCCCACGCACCCGUCCCGGGGACCCCGCCG